UCCCCCAUAGCUCAGCGGUAGAGUAGGUGACUGUUAAUCACUUGGUCAUAUGUUCGAAUCAUAUUGGGGGAGCCA
RNAcentral lists this transfer RNA (75 nucleotides) under Gammaproteobacteria bacterium. Its description in RNAcentral is "tRNA-Asn". It matches the Rfam family "tRNA". Rfam says of the family: Transfer RNA (tRNA) molecules are approximately 80 nucleotides in length. Their secondary structure includes four short double-helical elements and three loops (D, anti-codon, and T loops). Lineage: Bacteria; Pseudomonadati; Pseudomonadota; Gammaproteobacteria. The record is from RNAcentral.